RNAcentral lists this long non-coding RNA (2188 nucleotides) under Nicotiana benthamiana. RNAcentral describes it as "long non-coding RNA (NBEN_LNC020723)". Lineage: Eukaryota; Viridiplantae; Streptophyta; Magnoliopsida; Solanales; Solanaceae. The record is from RNAcentral.
UCUACAACCAAUCCACGAAAAGAAAGAAAAACAUCCAAACAUGAGAAAAAAACACAAGCAAAGAAAAAUCCCUAUCUGUGUCACUUGGGGGGGGGGGGGUUACUAGGCUGGUUCAAGGACCUAAGGCUUGGAGGAACUGGAAGGUUGGGAUUGGAGAAGAUUGAGCAUUGUUUGAAGCAUCCCUUCACCCUUUUCCUUUUCUUUUGCUAGCUCAUCUUUCAGGCUGUUCCGCUUAUUUUCAAGUUUAGCAACUCGAGCCUUGAGCCUAGCAAUCUCAGCAUCCUUUGUCCCACACUCUUGAACUAAAGUCGUAAGCUUGCCGUUCACUAGAGUCUUCAAAGAUGAACCAGGUUCAACUAGGGCUACACUGAGGGAUAGCCACAAACCUACAGGGUUUUGACACCAAAAUGGUCCUUGAUGGAAGCCAUCUCGCAUUUCAUCAAGGGAACAUUCAACCUAUCUAGCUAAGGAGUAGCAUGAGCCUUGGAGCCAUUUAUGACCCUGUCCAACAUCUAGACAAUGAAGGCAAGCUAGUUAAUUUUCUUUCCUCUCAUAAGGCAUUCCGGAAGAACCAAGUCCAUGUAGUUAGCUAUAUGCGUCCUCUCAUGUCUGGACAUCAGAGACUUGUUCACAAAUUCAAAUAGCACCUUGUGCUUAGGCUUCAUCUCACGCUUCUGUACAAAUCUUGCCUCUGGCACAUCUUCAGCAGACUUAGUGUCAUAAAAGUUCCUAGUGAUUUGGAGAGCACUAGGAAGAUCAUCUAUACAAGGCCACCUCUGCCUAGUGUAGUCAUCAUAUCCCUCACAUGGUAUGUCCAGAAUUUUCCCCAAUUUAGGUACAUCAAAUUGCACCUUCACUCCCCUAACCACACCGGUGACUACCCCAUUUUCACAGUGGCAUUUGCCAUUAACUCAAUAAGCUCCUUUCUUGUCAGCCUUCCAUCCAAAUGAAGAACCAUGUCCUUCCAACCUUGUGCAGCUAGAGCAUCCACCAACCUAAUCAUGUAUGGCUUCUCCAGGUCUUCCAGAAACCUCCCCUUCAAAAUCUUUCUUCUGCAAAAUAUGGCAAAUCGAUCUUGUUCCUUUUCAGACUCCUCCUCCUCUUCUUCUUCUUCUCCACUCCACUCUUCUUCUUUUUCAGUAACUUCUACUUGUUUUCUCUUCACUGCAGACCUAGUUCUUUUGGCCAAGGGGGGUUUAGGAGAUAGAGAUUUCGAAGACUUCUUUGUAGGAGUCUUGGUUCUUUUUGGUUUGGCAGUGGGAACCUCUAAAGUUGUACUUCUCUUUUAAUGGACCAGUUCCAAUUCCUCCUCCUUUCCUUCAGCAGCCUCAGAACUUUCCACAACCUUUUUUUUCAUAUUUCCUUCUUCUUUUUCUUACUUUUCUCUAAAGCUUUUUGUAGUUUUGCCUCUCUUUGCUUGAACCUGCUCCUUGCAGCUCUUCUUUUUUGUGAAGAAGGAACAACCGACUUGGAAGAUGACACCUUGCUUUUCUUAGAUGGUUUGGAAGGGGUUGGGGUAUUUUGGGAAGAAGCCUUGCACUUCUUUGGAUCAUAACUAGCCCCAACCCUCUUCAAGAUAUCAGCCAAGGUUUCCUCAAUUGAUGAACCAGGUUCAUCUUGCUACUCACUCAGAUGAACAAGGCCUUCAGCAACCUCUCUAUAAGCACUUCCCCCUGACUUGAUGCCACCAUCUUCUACACUACCACAGAUAGCAAGAACUUCUCCUUUCUUUUUCUUUCCCCUUCUACUAGACCCAGUCCCCUUUACAUCUUUUUACAGAUUCCACUAACACAAACAUAUUUUCCUCCCUUUAUACCACGUCAAUAAAGCAAAACAAGUAUUUAAAUCACUUGAGUUUUCUUGAUUCUUGUCAGUGUCAGAAGAUCAUCACUUGCAGAGAGAAAUACCUCAGACUCAAGGCUUGAGUCAAAUUCUUUUUUUGGACUUUUCUUCUUUUGGCUAGCUUUUAAUUUUUCAUUUAAGGCUUUUCCCAAAGGGCCAGAAGCUAAAGUUUUCAUGGCCAACAUUUCUGGCGACGAAACCUAGGUUUUGGGGUUUCAAUAUGAGGUGUGGAGGAUAAAGUAUUAGGAGAUACUGGCGAGGGAGUACCUGGGUUUUCUUGAGGGUUUGUCAUAGUAGAGAAUUUCUGGGGAUUUCUGGAAAUUUUGGAGAUGAAAGAAAUGAUCAG